This 413-nucleotide unclassified non-coding RNA is filed under the name soil metagenome. RNAcentral describes it as "partial contains 5.8S ribosomal RNA, internal transcribed spacer 2, and large subunit ribosomal RNA". The stretch from base 3 to 120 matches the Rfam family "5.8S ribosomal RNA", at positions 37 to 154 of the family's 154-position model. The record is from RNAcentral.
GGUGAAGAACGUAGCGAAAUGCGAUAAGUAAUGUGAAUUGCAGAAUUCAGUGAAUCAUCGAAUCUUUGAACGCACCUUGCGCUCUUUGGUAUUCCGAAGAGCAUGCCUGUUUGAGUGUCAUGAAAAUAUCAACCUUGACUUGGGUUUUGUGCUCUAGUCUCGGCUUGGAAUUGGGUGCUUGCCGCUUUUACGAGCGGCUCACCUUAAAUGUAUUAGCUGGAUCUGUCUUUGAGACUUGGUUUGACUUGGCGUAAUAAGUAUUUCGCUAAGGACAUUCUUCGGAGUGGCCUCGUUUCUAGGACGCUUGUCCGCUUUCCAAUACAAGUUCCACCUCGUGGACAUGACUUUUUAUUAUCUGGCCUCAAAUCAGGUAGGACUACCCGCUGAACUUAAGCAUAUCAAUAAGCGGAGGA